RNAcentral lists this ribosomal RNA (653 nucleotides) under Amanita vaginata. Its description in RNAcentral is "LSU rRNA". It matches the Rfam family "Eukaryotic large subunit ribosomal RNA", at positions 44 to 658 of the family's 3401-position model. Lineage: Eukaryota; Fungi; Basidiomycota; Agaricomycetes; Agaricales; Amanitaceae. The record is from RNAcentral.
CAAUAAGCGGAGGAAAAGAAACUAACAAGGAUUCCCCUAGUAACUGCGAGUGAAGCGGGAAAAGCUCAAAUUUGAAAUCUGGCAGUCUUUUUUUUCUUCUUUGGCUGUCCGAGUUGUAAUCUAGAGAAGUGCUUACCUGCGCUGGACCAUGUAUAAGUCUCCUGGAAUGGAGCGUCACAGAGGGUGAGAAUCCCGUCUUUGACAUGGACUGCCAGUGUGUUGUGGUGUGCUCUCAAAGAGUCGAGUUGUUUGGGAAUGCAGCUCUAAAUGGGUGGUAAACUCCAUCUAAAGCUAAAUAUUGGCGAGAGACCGAUAGUGAACAAGUACCGUGAGGGAAAGAUGAAAAGGACUUUGGAAAGAGAGUUAAACAGUAUGUGAAAUUGUUGAAAGGGAAACGCUUGAAGUCAGUUAUGUUGGCUAGGGAUCAACCUAGCUAAUUUUUUUGCUGGGUGAAUUUCCUAGUCUGACAGGCCAACAUCAGUCUUGACUGCUGGAAAAGAGCAGAGGGAAUGUGGCACCUUUGGGUGUGUUAUAGCCCUUUGUCAUAUGUGGCAGUUGGGACUGAGGGAUGCAGCAUGCCGUGAGGCUGGGUUUUUAACCACGUUCAUGCUUAGGAUGUUGGCUUUUAAUGGCUUCAAUCGACCCGUCUUGAA